This is a small nuclear RNA of Balaenoptera musculus (blue whale), 65 nucleotides long. RefSeq annotates it as U7 small nuclear RNA. The transcript has a single exon. NCBI's taxonomy places the organism in Eukaryota, Metazoa, Chordata, Mammalia, Artiodactyla, Balaenopteridae. The record is from RefSeq and is a predicted model, not a curated record.
AAGUGUUACAGCUCUUGUAGAAUUUGUCUAGCAGGUUUUCUGGUUCCCACCAGAAAAAUUCCUAA